Molecule: long non-coding RNA, 1056 nt
Filed under: Mytilus galloprovincialis (Mediterranean mussel)
Lineage: Eukaryota; Metazoa; Mollusca; Bivalvia; Mytilida; Mytilidae
Source: RNAcentral
UAAGGCCAAUUAAAAUUAAUUGAUAGAUUUUCAUCCCCGCCCGCCCCUCUGAAAUCGUCCCGCCCCGAUUUUUUUUAUUUUGCAAAAUUUACGAUUUCCGGAUUUUGUUCAUUUCCGUUACCGGUAACCGUCAAUAAUUUCGUUUCAUUCGAACUUCCUGUUUAUAAAAUUUCGGUUUUCAUAUUUCUUGUUUCGAGUACUUUAAAACGAUUAUGUUGACAAAAUCUGCUGCUCAAUGAUGACAGUAUCAUCUACGGAGAAUAUAGAAAGAUUACCAGAAGGGCAUGAAAUAUUCGGGUUACGAGUAUUAAAUACGCUGUGUCCAACGCAAAUCGCGGUAUGUCACAAAUUGGAAAUUGUGGAUUUAUUUAAUAAUACAUUGACUUUGUGUAAGCAAAUUUGGGCUGUGAAUGAUUUCCAAAGUGCAAGAAUCGUGGAACAAAUUGGUAGAAAAAAAAGAGUUCAAAAAGUCGGCAAACAUACACAUUGUGUACUAGAAAACCUUAGAUUUACCUAUGGCUAUUGUUUUUGUUUAAAAACACAAAAUACCAUUUAUAAUGUAAUUAUAUAUGCGUCACUUCUUGCAUAACUUGAGAAUCUUAAAAGCGCCAACUUUACUAUUCCUGGCAACACUUGUUUGAGUGUUCAUUUCAUUCAUAAUACUUGUGCUGCAUACCAUUGCAUUUGCAUAAGUUUAUGGGGACUACAAACCAUCGCUUAGAGAGAGCAAAAUAAAUUUGGAGUUGGUAGUCAAAUGAAUAGAGAAUUUCUCCAUGGUUUUACUGUUUGCUGAAAAUAUGUUUCUAAAGUAGCAAUUGCAUGUAGAACAGUCCGCGUUGCAAAUCAGAGAUGUUUAUUCAAGAAUUAUGUACGAUUCUUUAUACAUGUUUAAACAUUUACAUGGUAUAAGCUAAAUUUUGUAAUUAUAACACUUGCAUAUAUAUGAAGUUCACGCCACAAGAAGGUUUCAAAUUGAAUAAAAUUUAAAAAAUAAAAUCCUCCCACCCGCCCCAUUUUUUUCAAAACUUUGGAUGAAAAUCUACUAAUUAAUUUUAG